This 49-nucleotide ribosomal RNA is filed under the name Trichoderma gamsii. RNAcentral's name for it is "partial 18S ribosomal RNA". Lineage: Eukaryota; Fungi; Ascomycota; Sordariomycetes; Hypocreales; Hypocreaceae. The record is from RNAcentral.
CUUUUUUUUGUAACAAGGUUUCCGUAGGUGAACCAGCGGAGGGAUCAUU